Molecule: unclassified non-coding RNA, 457 nt
Filed under: Hevea brasiliensis (rubber tree)
Lineage: Eukaryota; Viridiplantae; Streptophyta; Magnoliopsida; Malpighiales; Euphorbiaceae
Source: RNAcentral
CGAAGACCAAAUUGGAAAAAUAAGAUCAUGAAUGAGAUUCAAAAUUCCAGCACGAAGAAUGCAAACGAGACAAAACAGGAUCCCAUAACAUCAUCCAGUUAUCAAAUAAUAAGCCGUAAGCUUAUUAAAUCACGGUCAGCUAACUAUUAACUCAUAAACUAGUAAAUUAAGAGAGAAUAAGAAGGGGGGCAAAAAAGCUUACACAUCAAAACACAAAAGAAGCUACCUACGACCUUCAAAUGUUCAAUUAUACAAAACAGAGACCAAAAAUGAAAGUUUUUCAAUAUUUAUAAAAUUCAAAACAGGAAAUCAUAAAGCCAGAAAAGAGAAAUGACAAGAAAACAAACAAAGCUGAAUUGAGCCCUAAAUAGUUCGAUACUGUAGCCGGCAAAGCAAUUAACUUGUCAUCAUCAUCAAAAGAAGAAGAACAGUACCUGAGUAGAGCGAAGAUAACCAG